This is a long non-coding RNA of Nymphaea colorata (pocket water lily), 950 nucleotides long. RefSeq lists it as uncharacterized. NCBI's taxonomy places the organism in Eukaryota, Viridiplantae, Streptophyta, Magnoliopsida, Nymphaeales, Nymphaeaceae. The transcript has 3 exons. The record is from RefSeq and is a predicted model, not a curated record.
AUCACUUAAGGUUGGGGAUUUAAAGGCAGGGUAGUGACAAUAUCUUACAUUUUUAUGUAAUCUGGCCAUUUUAUGUAAAAAGGGGGGGAACAUGAGCAGGUAAUCCUCCAAGUGUGUUAUUAUCAGUCUGUUUGCUACUUCUUAAAAUAUUACUUUGUGUUAUUUCUAGGACAACAUUAGGUCCUGUAGUUUCUUAUUGGAAACAAGUAGUAAUCUUACAUGCCAUUGUUAAUGUGGGUGCAAAAUUCCAUGUCCUCUGCUGCUAAUAUUUGUCAUUUGAUGCAGGUUUUAUGAUCUUAAUGUACAUUUUUGAGACGUAUUUGGACAUGAGAUAGCAUUCUGCUCUGAGGCUCCCCACCCUUCCUAAACCAUUGCUAGGGGUGUUCAGUCAGGAAAAUUUUGAGAAAUCACGUGCUUACAGCCUUGAUAAGAGAUAUCAUUGUUCUUCUUGUCUGAAACUUUGAAAUAUAUCUGGUUGGGUUCCUUGUUUGGAAAUUCUGCUGCAAAUAUGACUAGUAUGUCCUUACUUUCAUGUUCCGGUGAUUGGCAAUGUUAUGUGGUGAGCUCAUUUAGUCUUGUAUGUUGGGUUUCAGUCGCUUCCACUUUGUUCACGAGGCCUUUACAAUUGCGAUAGACUUCGUGAAUCUUGUACUUUGGUGCAUUGCCUUGGUGUUGGAAGAAAUCAGCAGAUCUUUUAAUAUCCAUGGGCUGGAACCCUGAGAAUGAGAUCCUUCAUACACUGGCAUUCUUGGCAGGUGUCAUGCUUUGGUCACAUAUCAUUGAUUUGCCGUUCUCACUGUACUCGACCUUUGUAAUUGAGGCUCGCCAUGGCUUUAACAAAGUUUGAACUGCUUGGACUGUGAACUCGUUGUCAAAUUUGAAUUAAAUAUAGUUGGUUUAUCCUCAUGAAUGGCAUCUGAACCUCUUAUUAUUAUUUUUUUAAGUUGAAG